RNAcentral lists this ribosomal RNA (253 nucleotides) under uncultured bacterium. RNAcentral describes it as "partial 16S ribosomal RNA". It matches the Rfam family "Bacterial small subunit ribosomal RNA", at positions 524 to 776 of the family's 1533-position model. The record is from RNAcentral.
UACGGAGGGGGCAAGCGUUAUUCGGAAUUAUUGGGCGUAAAGGGCGCGUAGGCGGCUAGAUGUGUCAAAGGUGAAAUCCCUCGGCUCAACUGAGGAACUGCCUUUGAAACUGUCUGGCUUGAGGCCGGGAGAGGGUAGCGGAAUUCCCAGUGUAGCGGUGAAAUGCGUAGAUAUUGGGAGAAACACCAGUGGCGAAGGCGGCUACCUGGACCGGUUCUGACGCUGAGGCGCGAAAGCGUGGGUAGCAAACAGG